CCAAAUUCCUUUAUUGUCUUUUAUAAAUUUACAAUAUUAUAACCUUUCUUGUAAAUUCUUUGUACUGAAGUUAUUUUUUGACUCCAAGAAGAAUAAUAUAAUCCAUUAAGUUACCAGCCAAGUACCAAUAUCACAUUAAACUCCUUAAAUUAAAUAACCCCAUCACCAAAAUUUGUACAAUAGAGAUACUAGAAAGUGACUUCCAACUAAAGAACAAAGAGAUGGAAUUCCCCUAUUUCCCCACCCCUAAAAGAAAUAAACAAAAAUAAUAAAAAUAAAUAAAUACAAACUUAGGUAAAUCUUUGAUUUACCAUGGUAGAAAAGCUUCAUUACAACUACUUUGAUCACUUGAACUACUACUCAAAAGUUGUUCCAAAUAAUCAGCCCCCAAAUCUUCAAAUACUACAACAUUUACAUUCUCCAUUUUUACUUCCCUCACAACUUUAUUAUUACUGUUGUUCUUGGAAUUCAAACCCCCAAAUCUUCAAAUACUACAACAUUUACAUUCUCCAUUUUUACUUCCCUCACAACUUUAUUAUUACUAUUACUAUUACUACUCUUCUUGAAAUUCAAGCUCCUCUUCCUCAUUGAGUGGCGCUUUUUUAGCGCCAAUACAGGGGAACA
Molecule: long non-coding RNA, 624 nt
Filed under: Nicotiana benthamiana
Lineage: Eukaryota; Viridiplantae; Streptophyta; Magnoliopsida; Solanales; Solanaceae
Description: long non-coding RNA (NBEN_LNC012942)
Source: RNAcentral